Molecule: ribosomal RNA, 252 nt
Filed under: uncultured bacterium
Lineage: Bacteria
Description: partial 16S ribosomal RNA
Rfam family: Bacterial small subunit ribosomal RNA
Source: RNAcentral
UACGUAGGGGGCUAGCGUUAUCUGGAAUUACUGGGCGUAAAGGGUGCGUUGGUGGUUUCUUAAGUCAGAGGUGAAAGGCUACGGCUCAACCGUAGUAAGCCUUUGAAACUGGGGAACUUGAGUGCAGGAGAGGAGAGUGGAAUUCCUAGUGUAGCGGUGAAAUGCGUAGAUAUUAGGAGGAACACCAGUUGCGAAGGCGGCUCUCUGGACUGUAACUGACACUGAGGCACGAAAGCGUGGGGAGCAAACAGG